RNA transcript from Bombus pyrosoma, 2094 nucleotides. It is a transcript of the gene named uronyl 2-sulfotransferase-like, with no coding region annotated. Lineage: Eukaryota; Metazoa; Arthropoda; Insecta; Hymenoptera; Apidae. The transcript has 7 exons. The record is from RefSeq and is a predicted model, not a curated record.
CUGUUAAAACAAAACCUUUUUCCCGAUCUCUGUCAAGACACUUUACCUUUUUUCACUGGCAGAGACAGUAUCACGUUGCAAUAUCGUGUGAAUCUGCUUAAUUUCAACGUUUUCAAUUCUCAGUCGAACAUCCUCUUUUGCUGUUUAAGCAAAUGCCGGCGUAUCGAACAAACAUUAACGGCGUUACGAAGGUCGAUAGAAGCAUCGAAUAGCAAAGAAGUAGAAUCAUCAUUUAGCAUGAAAGAGUUGCGCUGCCUUUCACCGUUUUUGCUGUCUCACUUUAUGAAUAUGUAUGUCGGUGGAUGCACUACAAAAUUUGUAACAGAAACGAAGGAUGCAACCUAGUUGAACAGGAAUAGAUCUACAUUCUAAAUGUCGUAUGGAAAUGGUUUGUUAUUUCGCACCUCCCGAGAAUUUAAAGGUACAAAAGUUUAAUGCGUAUAAUAACCAAAAAUAUAUAGAAUAUACCCAAUGUAAAGUACUUUCUAUAAUACUUAGCGGAUGAAACGAAUUUUUAUUUAGUUCGCAGCUCCUUCGUUAUGUUCAUAAGAAUAUCAAAAUGCAUAAACAGCUGUAUUCUAGUCUAUUCUGUUGAUAUCUCGAGUCGGUUAAACCUCUCAGAUGUUUAGUUGGAAACCGCGGUUUAUGCAUGCAGUGAACGCGAUAAAUGCAUCUGGAAAAGCUAAGUUUCGCUUUUCGUGAGAUCCACUAUUGGUGGGAGUUUAGGUGAAGAUGUGGGGAUCAAGCAGUACGAAGUCUCUGACCCACUGACAUUCUCUUUAGUUACUUGGUAGAAACAAACGCUGAUAAUCCGUGACUCAGACUUUCGAUGUUCGUGAUCAGGAUUAUUGGCAAAAUAGUAUCUGAAGAAGAAAGAUAGCCGUCAUCGAAGGAUCACAACCAGUCGAGUCUCGUUUUGAGAUGAGGCGAAAUCGUGGCUUGCUAACUAGUGUCGCUGUUUGCUUGACAGUUUUCUUCAUUGUUUUAAAUUCGAAAUCAACAGUGGAAACUGUAAACGACACGGGAAGUAGCAUAGAAAAGCCUUACGCUGGAGAACAGGAAGUCCAUAAAGGUCAGACGUAUCGAUACGUUACACCUUCUCUUGCUGAAUUGGGUGCUCGUGGAAGUUUGCCUAAAAUGAACCAGCAUGUUUUAAUGCUGACGCGUGUACCUGAUGCUGGAGCUGAAUUGUUAGUCUUGAUCCUACAACGUCUGCAGGGUUACAAUGCGUUUAAACAUAUACGAUUACCACCUGGCGAUCAUGGGCUUCUAUCAACUCUGCAAGAGGAACUGUUAGUAGAAGAAAUUACUAAUAUCAUUAGACAGGAAGCGAUUCCUCUGAGUUUCGACGGAGAUGUUAGAUUUCUGAACUUCUCCAAGUUUGGAAGAGAGUCUCCGACGUUUAUUUCCCUAGUGAGAAAUCCUAUAUGUGCGCACAAUUUGCGGAGAUAUCGUGAAAGGCGAAGUGACAUGCUUCAUAGAGCCAUACCUACGUUCUGUGGUCAAGAUCCUCGAUGCGCAAAGAUAAAUAACAAAUGGGCGUUAGAACGGGCAAAGGCAAACAUCGUUGAAUGGUACCCUGUUGUCGGUAUAUUAAAUUACAUGGAACAAUCCAUAGAUGUACUGGAAUACAAAUUUCCAUAUUUCUUUCGAGGUGCUAAACAUAGUUACAGAAAGAUUCAGCCGAGAAAAAGACACUUUUCCGAUCCAACACUUACGCUAAGAGCACGAGAAAGAGAUAUUUUAUUUAAGCUUCUUGAGGAUGAGAUAGAAUUUUAUCAGUGGUUAAAAUAUCGACUUUUGAACGAAACAUUGAUCGACAUUGAUUAAAGCCAUGAAAUUUACACGAUGAUAAGUGUCUAGUUUCAAAAUAUACCAAAGAUAUUAAAUAUUCCAAUAAUAAUGAUUUUAUACAGAAAUAAAUUUGAUUAAAAAUUUUUCUAGGAAGAAAGGAUUUUAGUUCCUAUAAAAUUAGAAUACUGCGCAGGAACAAUAUGCGUCUCAUUUGCUUAGAGUCGACUCCACUCGCUUAGUGAGAAUUUCUAGAAAAUAUAGGAUAUACAGAAGAAACUACUUUUCAAUCUUCAUAGUUUA